Cinara cedri is the source of this 509-nucleotide non-coding RNA. The record is from the annotation of a GenBank genome assembly. NCBI's taxonomy places the organism in Eukaryota, Metazoa, Arthropoda, Insecta, Hemiptera, Aphididae.
AGAUAAUGAGUAUUUUACAAUAGAUUGAUCACCUUGUGUAGGACGCAUUCUCUGUAUAGGGAGGUACACUAAAAAGAAGUCUAAAACAAACUACAAUAAUGUACGAACUAAGAACAAAUCAAUUUACUAAUGAGAAUUCAAACAAAUCACGUUUAUAUUAUGUAGGGAAAUAUUUUAUUAAUUAUCUAACUACCUAUUUUACGAAUUUAAUUCAAUAUACUGUUAAAAUAAACUUAUUUACAACUCUGUUUCAGGAAUGGAAUUACAAAGAAAACAAUCAGGUUUGGCAAAUGCUUUGUGUUCAUUUUACUAUAAAUCCACACGUAUUUUUAAAAUUUGGUAUCGAUUAUCUGUAACCGUGUCAUCUACGUCAGUCAAACACGUCAAUAUAUUUAAAACAUAUUAAUACUACACUAUUCUAUACUUUACAGUAUACAUAUAUAUAAUUAAGAAUAUAAAAUGUCAAUCAAUAUAAUUAUAUUAUAAUAUAGGUAGUUCAGUUUCUGUUU